CUGGUUGAUCCUGCCAGUAGUCAUAUGCUUGUCUCAAAGAUUAAGCCAUGCAUGUCUAAGUAUAAGCAAUUUAUACAGUGAAACUGCGAAUGGCUCAUUAAAUCAGUUAUCGUUUAUUUGAUAGUACCUUACUACUUGGAUAACCGUGGUAAUUCUAGAGCUAAUACAUGCUUAAAAUCCCGACUGUUUGGAAGGGAUGUAUUUAUUARAUAAAAAAUCAAUGUCUUCGGACUCUUUGAUGAUUCAUAAUAACUUUUCGAAUCGCAUGGCCUUGUGCUGGCGAUGGUUCAUUCAAAUUUCUGCCCUAUCAACUUUCGAUGGUAGGAUAGUGGCCUACCAUGGUUUCAACGGGUAACGGGGAAUAAGGGUUCGAUUCCGGAGAGGGAGCCUGAGAAACGGCUACCACAUCCAAGGAAGGCGGCAGGCGCGCAAAUUACCCAAUCCCGACACGGGGAGGUAGUGACAAUAAAUAACGAUACAGGGCCCUUUCGGGUCUUGUAAUUGGAAUGAGUACAAUGUAAAUACCUUAACGAGGAACAAUUGGAGGGCAAGUCUGGU
Molecule: ribosomal RNA, 558 nt
Filed under: uncultured eukaryote
Lineage: Eukaryota
Description: SSU rRNA
Rfam family: Eukaryotic small subunit ribosomal RNA
Source: RNAcentral